RNAcentral lists this ribosomal RNA (428 nucleotides) under uncultured bacterium. RNAcentral describes it as "bacterial SSU rRNA". It matches the Rfam family "Bacterial small subunit ribosomal RNA", at positions 355 to 775 of the family's 1533-position model. The record is from RNAcentral.
UGGGGAAUAUUGGACAAUGGGGGCAACCCUGAUCCAGCGAUGCCGCGUGAGUGAAGAAGGCCUUCGGGUCGUAAAGCUCUUUAGGUUGGGAAGAAGUUUGUGGGAAGAAUGCUCCUGCAAGUUGACGGUACCGACAGAAUAAGCACCGGCAAACUCUGUGCCAGCAGCCGCGGUAAUACAGAGGGUGCUAGCGUUAAUCGGAAUUACUGGGCGUAAAGGGCGCGUAGGCGGUGAGAUAUGUGUGGUGUGAAAGCCCUGGGCUUAACCUAGGAAGAGCAUCGCAAACUGUCUUGCUGGAGUAUAUGAGAGGGUGGCGGAAUUUCCGGUGUAGCGGUGAAAUGCGUAGAGAUCGGAAGGAACGUCGAUGGCGAAGGCAGCCACCUGGCAUAAUACUGACGCUGAGGCGCGAAAGCGUGGGGAGCGAACAG